Long non-coding RNA from Rhincodon typus (whale shark), 575 nucleotides. RefSeq lists it as uncharacterized. The transcript is spliced from 2 exons. NCBI's taxonomy places the organism in Eukaryota, Metazoa, Chordata, Chondrichthyes, Orectolobiformes, Rhincodontidae. The record is from RefSeq and is a predicted model, not a curated record.
CCCCCCCCCCCUUUCUUUUUGCAUUUGGUCGCCAAUCUGAAGGAGAACAAAAAAAAAUCCCCGUCAGGUCCGAAAGUCUUCAGUCUGAUGGCUAGAGCUGGAAUCUACUGUGGUGGGAUGUGCGGAAGGACCAAAUUGUGGUCGUGGUUAUUGUGGAUUCCGGGCGAUUACUGCUGCUGAAACUAUUGGGGGAAAUAUUUAAAAAAAAACACUCGUAUCUCUUCUGGGGGAAAAAAAUUCUAAAAGUGUGUUAUUAUAGAAUCAACAUCAGUCUGCACUGUGGAGACCUGGUCAAUUUCACCUGGGGAUUUUCCUGUCAAUUUUACUUGGAAUCUAGUCAAUUUCCGCCUGGAUCGUCGGCUCGCUUGGAAUCAUUAUGGGAAUACUGGGAUAAUUUCUCCAUCUAAGUUAUAAAAGGAUUCUUCUCUUGCGGAUUUUUUUUCCUCGGUGAUUAAUACACAGACGACGUGUAUCCAGCCAUCGCCUCCUGCAAAGUGUGCUUUGCCUGGGCUUUGUGGAAUUGCUAUUGUUAAUUUUAUUGAGUUUAAACAAAUAUAUACAUACACAACCAGUCA